RNAcentral lists this ribosomal RNA (328 nucleotides) under uncultured eukaryote. RNAcentral's name for it is "partial 18S ribosomal RNA". It matches the Rfam family "Eukaryotic small subunit ribosomal RNA", at positions 1470 to 1796 of the family's 1831-position model. The record is from RNAcentral.
CCCUUAGAUGUCCUGGGCCGCACGCGCGCUACACUGAGUGUCUGAGAUACGAGUCUGCCUAGCCGGCGAGGUCUAGGUAAUCGCUGAAAGACACAUCAUGCUUGGGAUAGAUUAUUGCAGAUAUUAAUCUUGAACGAGGAAUUCCUAGUAAGCGCAAGUCAACAGCUUGCGUUGAUUACGUCCCUGCCCUUUGUACACACCGCCCGUCGCUACUACUGAUUGGAUGUUAAAGCGAGGUUCUCGAACUGCUAGCGACUUAGCUUCGGUGAGGUCGCCGUGGGGGAAGUGAACCUAGCUUUGGUGUCUAGAGGAAGUAAAAGUCGUAUCA